This 335-nucleotide ribosomal RNA is filed under the name Xanthomonas sp. RNAcentral's name for it is "partial 16S ribosomal RNA". It matches the Rfam family "Bacterial small subunit ribosomal RNA", at positions 933 to 1261 of the family's 1533-position model. The record is from RNAcentral. Lineage: Bacteria; Pseudomonadati; Pseudomonadota; Gammaproteobacteria; Lysobacterales; Lysobacteraceae.
GCCCCCCCCUGGAGUAUGUGUUAAUUCGAUGCAACGCGAAGAACCUUACCUGGUCUUGCAUCCCCCGGAACUUUCCAGAGAUGGAUUGGUGCCUUCGGGAACCGUGAGACAGGUGCUGCAUGGCUGAAAAAACCGUGUCGUGAGAUGUUGGGUUAAGUCCCGCAACGAGCGCAACCCUUGUCCUUAGUUGCCAGCACGUAAUGGUGGGAACUCUAAGGAGACCGCCGGUGACAAACCGGAGGAAGGUGGGGAUGACGUCAAGUCAUCAUGGCCCUUACGACCAGGGCUACACACGUACUACAAUGGUAGUCAGAGGGCUGGGGCCAGAGGGUAAG